RNAcentral lists this unclassified non-coding RNA (1405 nucleotides) under Leishmania donovani. Its description in RNAcentral is "gene:LdHU3.10.1740(CDS-product:Protein_of_unknown _function_(DUF1861)_putative)". Lineage: Eukaryota; Euglenozoa; Kinetoplastea; Trypanosomatida; Trypanosomatidae. The record is from RNAcentral.
UCUUACGUCAUAAAGCAAUCCAUCAAAAGAGAUCUUUCUCCCUUUUUAUCACUGUGUUGCUCUCUCCGUGGUAACACAUUUUCUUCCUACUUUUACACAACGUCUUUUCUUUUGAAUAUUUGCUUUAGUUUCUUUCUGUGCAUCUACUGGACGCCCACCUCAACGUGCAAAAAUCGAUUUCCAUCUGCUGAAUUGUUCAAAACGAUAACUCUCUGACGCCUUUUUCGAUUUUAUAUUAGCUCCACUUUGCUAUAACAUAUUAGCUCAUUUUGCACACUUUCACACGCGUUCAUUAUCAGUUUUCUCUUUUUCCCCUCGCGUUCCUGAUCUGUAGUAUAUCUUUUGUUUGCUUUUGCUGACGAAACGCAGAAGGAGAAAUGGGUUCUAACGCGUCGCAUACUGAACCCCAAGUGCCAAAGGAGUGCACGAUGGUGGCGAAGCGAAAGGAAUUCGAGCGGACAAAGGUGAUUCAAGAGGCCACCUUUCUUACCUUCAAAGGUUUGGACACACACGACGUGUACAACUGCUGCGUUCCUUUUAAGAUCAAUGGCACCUACCACAUCUUCGGACGCGCCGAGCGACGCAGCGAGUGGGUCAAUUCGCAUGUCCGCCUCUUCCGCAAGACCGGACACGACGAGUACACCCUUGUGGAGCACGCGAUGCAAUACCAGCUGGAAGACCCGUUUCUUGUGAAGAUCAACGAAGAGGCGCUUUUCGGUGGUGUGCGUGUCACAAAGGACCAUGGAAAGGUGUCCGGCUACGUCUGCGAUUUCUAUCGUGGCAAAAUAGACGACCUACACUAUUUCACUUCGGGCCCGAAGAACAUGAAGGAUAUUCGUCUCGUCGGGCUGGCCGACGGGAAAAUUGGUGUCUUUUCCCACCACAAGACCAGCAAAACCUGCAUUACCGGCUUUAUCAUUAUCGAUUCACUCGACGAUCUUUGCUCGCAGGUAAUCGACUCUGCAAAGCCGAUCGAUCACACGCUCUUUGGUGACGCGUGGGGUGGUGUAAACCAGCCGUACCUUCUAUCAACAGGUAAAAUCGGCUGCAUUUCUCACCAUGGCUAUCUCGACACGGAUGCAAACGGCGAAAUCAUCAACGUGUACUGCAUCACGUCCUUCGUUUAUAAGCCGUCAACCAAUAAGUGCUACGACUACAAGAUUCUUGGCACAAAAAACUGCUUUCCAGAUUACCCGGCGAAGGCGCCAAAACUGAUAGACUGCGCUUUCGUCUCUGGUAUCGUGAUGCGUGAGGACGGCAAGUGCGACCUGUACAGCGGUGUCGGCGACACCCGGGAGGGUCGAAUGGUGAUCGACUACCCGUUUGAGGGACAUGGCACUAUUGCCGACAAUGUCGACUUUUGAGGGCUCAUCCGCCAUACGUCUAGUGACGACAGCGACUCAGG